GACGAACGCUGGCGGCGUGCUUAACACAUGCAAGUCGAACGGAAAGGCCCUGCUUUUGUGGGGUGCUCGAGUGGCGAACGGGUGAGUAACACGUGAGUAACCUGCCCUUGACUUUGGGAUAACUUCAGGAAACUGGGGCUAAUACCGGAUAGGAGCUCCUGCUGCACGGUGGGGGUUGGAAAGUUUCGGCGGUUGGGGAUGGACUCGCGGCUUAUCAGCUUGUUGGUGGGGUAGUGGCUUACCAAGGCUUUGACGGGUAGCCGGCCUGGGAGGGUGACCGGCCACAUUGGGCCUGAGGUACGGCCCAGACUCCUACGGGAGGCAGCAGUGGGGAAUAUUGCCCAAUGGGCCGAAGCCUGAUGCAGCAACGCCGCGUGCGGGAUGACGGCCUUCGGGUUGUAAACCGCUUUCGCCUGUGACGAAGCGUGAGUGACGGUAAUGGGUAAAAAAGCACCGGCUAACUACGUG
RNAcentral lists this ribosomal RNA (468 nucleotides) under uncultured bacterium. RNAcentral's name for it is "partial 16S ribosomal RNA". It matches the Rfam family "Bacterial small subunit ribosomal RNA", at positions 28 to 507 of the family's 1533-position model. The record is from RNAcentral.